GACGAACGCUGGCGGCGGGCUUAACACAUGCAAGUCGAACGGACAGGCCCUGCUUUUGUAGGGUGCUCGAUUGGCGAACGGGUGCGUACCACGUGUGUAAAUUGCCCUUGACUUUGGUGGAACUUUAGGAAACUCGGGCUAAUACGGGAUAGGAGCUGCUGCAGCAUGGGGGGGGGUGGAAAUUUCCGGCGGUUGGGGAUGGACUGGCGGCUGAUCAGCUUGCUGGUGGGGUUGGGGAUUACCAAGGCUUGGACGGGUAGCCGGCCUGAGAGGGGGAACGGCCACAUCGGGACUGAGAUACGGCCCAGACUCGAAUGGGAGGCAGAGGUGGGGAAUAGUGCACAAGGGGCGGAAGGCUGGUGUGGCAACGCCGCGUGCGGGGUGAGGGGCAGCGGGUUGUAAACCGCUGUCGCCUGGGCCGAAGCGUGAGUGACGGUAAUGGGUAAAGAAGCACCGGCUAACUACGUG
Molecule: ribosomal RNA, 468 nt
Filed under: uncultured bacterium
Lineage: Bacteria
Description: partial 16S ribosomal RNA
Rfam family: Bacterial small subunit ribosomal RNA
Source: RNAcentral